CUCCUUCUCCUUCUCCUUCUCCUUCUCCUUCUCCUUCUCCUUCUCCUUCUCACCAAGUCCCCCUCUGGGCAGCCCCACCCUCAGAGCCUACAAACCAGUGAAGGAACAAAAUACAGACAAAAGCUUAUAAGAAGCAAAACACACCCGAGCCCGCCCCUGUCGCUUGCCUGAGACACACACAGGAAGGAAGUGGCCGGGUGAUUCAAGCACGGAGAACUGCGAUGUCUCAAGCAGGGAAUAUUUUCUGACAAGCUCUUCCUGACUGUGGUUUUGAACGAGAUUUCGAGAUUUCGGUGGACAUCAGCCCGGCCCCCCACGGCGUCCCCCCCCACCAGCGCAGCCCGCCACGCACGGUGCCUGCUGUCUAGACACAGACACGGCGGUCGGGGUGGACGCCCGACCAGGAAGGCGCCCAGCGGGCUGCUGCUGCUCCCCAGGCCUGGGACCCGGGAGGCUGAGCAAAGACGGCCGCUGCCAAGGGGAGGCAAAUGAAGUUCCUCUACGACACACACUUGCCCUGUUUCGCUACCUCACCGCAAGCCCCCAGGUGCUGGGGCCAACCAUCCAUGGACUGAACCAUGCAGAACACGUGUGAUGUCUUCUGCCAACAACACAGCAUGAAGCCUCUCUCCAGACACCAGCACCUUGAACUUGGACUUAUAGCCUCUAGAGCAGCGGUGGUGAACCUAUGGCACGCGGGCCACAGUGGGCUGUUGGAAGCACUGAAAGCUUUAAAAAGUUCGCCAUCACUGCACUACAGUGAGCUUCUUAAAUUCCACACAGAAAAAGAAAAUGCUGAGAUUGUGAUUCAAGUUACAUUAAAUCUACUGAUCAAAUUAUAUAUAUAUUCUAUUGUAAAUAAAAUUUUUUCUUUAUUCUUUAUUAUUUUUAAUCAUUCAUUGUUAGGGUGUAGAUAUGUAAGUCAAUUAUUGUGGGUUAAUAUUUUUUUCCUGCACCUUUGCUAUAAGUUUUUAUUAGUUCUAGUGGGUUUUUUGUGUAAUCUUUAGGAUUUUCUACAUAUAGAGUCAUUUCACCUGCAGAGAUACCUAACUUCUUUUCUAAUUUGAAUGCCUUUUAUUUUUUUUUUCUUUCCUGAUUGCUAUGGCUGGAACUUCCAGUUCUGUGUUCAACAGCAGAGGUGAGAAUGGAGAUUCUUUCUUUGCUCCUGAUCUUAGAGGGAAAGCUUUCAGCUUUUCACCAUUGAGCAUACUUUUUUGUAGUCUAGUUUAAAUAAUUUUGUUGGUUUAAAAAAAACAGCUCUUAACUUUGUUGGCUUUUUCUGAUUGUUUUUCUCUUUGGUAUUUUAUUUAUUUCUUCUCUAACUUUUAUUAUUUUAUUCCUCCUGCUCACUUUCAUUUUAGUUUAUGCUAGCUUUUUUCUGAUAUAAGAUUAGGUUGUUGAUUGAAAACUUUCUUAUCUUUUAAUGUAGGUGUUUACUGUCAUAAACUUUUCUCUUAGUAGUGCUUUUUUGUGUUUUUUGUUUGUUUUCAUUUGUUUAAAGAUAUGUCCUUCAGCACCACAGUGCCUGCCUGGCAAGCACGAAGCCCUAAGUUCUAUUCCUGGUACCAAAAAAACCCACCAAGUAAUAAAAAUAUGUCCUUUUUCACAGGUGAUUUCUUCAUAGAUCCAUUGGCUGUUCGGGAAUGUGUUGUUUAAUUUCCACAUACUUAUGAUUUUCUGGGUUUCCUUUGGGUAUUGAUUUCUAGUUUCUUUCUAUUGUGGUCAGAAAAGAUACUUGGUAUGAUUUCAAUCGUACAUUUUUUACGAUUUGUUUCAUGGGUUGACAUAUGCUCUCUCUGGGAAAAAGUUCCAUGUGCAAUUUAGAAGAAUUUCUAUUCUGCUGAUGUUGAGUAUUAUGUUCUGUAUGUCUUUUAGGUUCCAUCAAUCGUUCAAAUGUUCAGUUUCCUUAUUGAUCUUCCAUCUGGUUGUUCUAUGCAUUACUGAAAUUGGAAUGUUAAUAUCUUUUUUAUUGUGUUACUGAUAUUUUCUCCAUUCAAUUCUUUCAAU
This is a long non-coding RNA of Heterocephalus glaber (naked mole-rat), 2007 nucleotides long. RefSeq lists it as uncharacterized. NCBI's taxonomy places the organism in Eukaryota, Metazoa, Chordata, Mammalia, Rodentia, Bathyergidae. The record is from RefSeq and is a predicted model, not a curated record.